RNAcentral lists this ribosomal RNA (301 nucleotides) under uncultured bacterium. RNAcentral's name for it is "partial 16S ribosomal RNA". It matches the Rfam family "Bacterial small subunit ribosomal RNA", at positions 509 to 807 of the family's 1533-position model. The record is from RNAcentral.
CAGUCGCCACGGGAAUACAGAGGGUGCAAGCGUUAAUCGGAUUUACUGGGCGUAAAGCGUGCGUAGGCGGCUUCUUAAGUCGGAUGUGAAAUCCCUGAGCUUAACUUAGGAAUUGCAUUCGAUACUGGGAAGCUAGAGUAUGGGAGAGGAUGGUAGAAUUCCAGGUGUAGCGGUGAAAUGCGUAGAGAUCUGGAGGAAUACCGAUGGCGAAGGCAGCCAUCUGGCCUAAUACUGACGCUGAGGUACGAAAGCAUGGGGAGCAAACAGGAUUAGAUACCCCGGUAGUCCCUGUCUCUUAUAC